CGGGAUGUGGCUCAGUUUGGCUAGAGCGCAGCGUUCGGGACGCUGAGGCCGGAGGUUCGAAUCCUCUCAUCCCGACCA
RNAcentral lists this transfer RNA (78 nucleotides) under Desulfovibrio desulfuricans. Its description in RNAcentral is "tRNA-Pro". It matches the Rfam family "tRNA". Rfam says of the family: Transfer RNA (tRNA) molecules are approximately 80 nucleotides in length. Their secondary structure includes four short double-helical elements and three loops (D, anti-codon, and T loops). Lineage: Bacteria; Pseudomonadati; Thermodesulfobacteriota; Desulfovibrionia; Desulfovibrionales; Desulfovibrionaceae. The record is from RNAcentral. RNAcentral also lists the same sequence under 7 other names.